Molecule: ribosomal RNA, 497 nt
Filed under: uncultured bacterium
Lineage: Bacteria
Description: partial 16S ribosomal RNA
Rfam family: Bacterial small subunit ribosomal RNA
Source: RNAcentral
GAUGAGCGCUGGCGGCGUGCCUAAUACAUGCAAGUCGAGCGAACGGACGAGAAGCUUGCUUUUCUGAUGUUAGCGGCGGACGGGUGAGUAACACGUGGAUAACCUACCUAUAAGACUGGGAUAACUUCGGGAAACCGGAGCUAAUACCGGAUAAUAUUUUGAACCGCAUGGUUCAAAAGUGAAAGACGGUCUUGCUGUCACCUAUAGAUGGAUCCGCGCUGCAUUAGCUAGUUGGUAAGGUAACGGCUUACCAAGGCAACGAUGCAUAGCCGACCUGAGAGGGUGAUCGGCCACACUGGAACUGAGACACGGUCCAGACUCCUACGGGAGGCAGCAGUAGGGAAUCUUCCGCAAUGGGCGAAAGCCUGACGGAGCAACGCCGCGUGAGUGAUGAAGGUCUUCGGAUCGUAAAACUCUGUUAUUAGGGAAGAACAUAUGUGUAAGUAACUGUGCACAUCUUGACGGUACCUAAUCAGAAAGCCACGGCUAACUACGUG